Long non-coding RNA from Cydia pomonella (codling moth), 1853 nucleotides. RefSeq lists it as uncharacterized. The record is from RefSeq and is a predicted model, not a curated record. The transcript is spliced from 2 exons. Lineage: Eukaryota; Metazoa; Arthropoda; Insecta; Lepidoptera; Tortricidae.
CAAUAACAACAAAUACUAAAAACUACGGUACCCUAGAUGGGCGAGUCCGGCUCGCAUUUGUCUGGUAUUAUUUAAAUAUAGGAGGCAAAUGAGGAAAGCCCAUGAACAGAGGUCGUACCUAUCAUAGGAUAAGUAGAUAUAUAUGUACAAAGAAACAGCGGUAUGUUAAGUAGAUUUUUUUAUAUAGUAGGCAAACGAGCAGAGCCCAUGAACAGAGGUCAUACUCUUAUCAUAGAAUUGGUAGAUAUGUACAAAGAAACAGCGCUAUGUUAAGUAGAAUCGAUUUUUUUUAAGUAGGAGCUAAACGAGCAGAACUCAUGAACAGAGUUCGUAUCAUAAGAUUUGUAGAUAUGUACAUAGAAAUGGCGCUAUGUUAAAUAGAAGUAUUUUUUUAAAUAUAGGAGGCAAAUGAGCAGAGUCCAUGAACAGAGGUUGUAUCAUAGGAUAAGUAGAUAUGUACAAAGAAAUGGCACUAUGUUAAGUAGAUUUUUUUUUUUUUAAUAUAUGAGGCAAACGAGCAGUGCCCACGAACAGAGCUCGUAUCAGAAGAUUUAUAGAGAUGUACAAAGGAAUGGCGUUAUGUUAAGUAGAAGUAUUUUUUUAAAUACAGGAGGCAAACGAGCAGAGCCCAUGAACAGAGGUCGUAUCUUAAGAUUUGUAGAUAUGUACAUAGAAAUGGCGCUAUGUUAAGUAGAAGUAUUUUUUUAAAUAUAGGAGGCAAAUGAGCAGAGCCCAUGAACAGAGGUUGUAUCAUAGGAUAAGUAGAUAUGUACAAAGAAAUGGCACUAUGUUAAGUAAUUUUUUUUUUUAAUAUAGGAGGCAAACGAGCAGAGCCCACGAACAGAGCUCGUAUCAGAAGAUUUAUAGAGAUGUACAAAAGAAUGGCGUUAUGUUAAGUAGAAGUAUUUUUUUUAUAUAGGAGGCAAACGAGCAGAACCCAUGAACAGAGCUCAUAUCAUAAGAUUUGUAGAGAUGUACAAAGGAAUGGCGUUAUGUUAAGUAGAAGUAUUUUUUUAAAUACAGGAGGCAAACGAGCAGAGCCCAUGAACAGAGGUCGUAUCUUAAGAUUUGUAGAUAUGUACAUAGAAAUGGCGCUAUGUUAAGUAGAACUAUUUUUUUAAAUAUAGGAGGCAAAUGAGCAGAGCCCAUGAACAGAGGUUGUAUCAUAGGAUAAGUAGAUAUGUACAAAGAAAUGGCACUAUGUUAAGUAGAAUUUGUUUUUUUUAAUCUAGGAGGCAAACGAGCAGAGCCCACGAACAGAGCUCGUAUCAGAAGAUUUAUAGAGAUGUACAAAGGAAUGGCGUUAUGUUAAGUAGAAGUAUUUUUUUAAAUACAGGAGGCAAACGAGCAGAGCCCAUGAACAGAGGUCGUAUCAUAAGAUUUGUAGAUAUGUACAUAGAAAUGGCGCUAUGUUAAGUAGAAGUAUUUUUUUAAAUAUAGGAGGCAAAUGAGCAGAGCCCAUGAACAGAGGUUGUAUCAUAGGAUAAGUAGAUAUGUACAAAGAAAUGGCACUAUGUUAAGUAGAUUUUUUUUUUUAAUAUAGGAGGCAAACGAGCAGAGCCCACGAACAGAGCUCGUAUCAUAAGAUUUGUAGAUAUGUACAUAGAAAUGGCGCUAUGUUAAGUAGAAGUAUUUUUUUAAAUAUAGGAGGCAAAUGAGCAGAGCCCAUGAACAGAGGUUGUAUCAUAGGAUAAGUAGAUAUGUACAAAGAAAUGGCACUAUGUUAAGUAGAAUUUUUUUUUUAAUAUAGGUGGCAAACGAGCAGAGCCCACGAACAGAGCUCGUAUCAGAAGAUUUAUAGAGAUGUACAAAGGAAUGGCGUUAUGUUAAGUAGAAGUAUUUUUUUUAAUAUA